CGCGUAGGUGGUUUUUUAAGUCAGAUGUGAAAUCCCUGGGCUUAACCUAGGAAUUGCAUAUGAAACUGGAAAGCUAGAGUACAGAAGAGGGAAGUGGAAUUUCCGGUGUAGCGGUGAAAUGCGUAGAUAUCGGAAGGAACACCAGUGGCGAAGGCGACUUCCUGGUCUGUUACUGACACUGAGGCGCGAAAGCGUGGGGAGCGGACAGGAUUAGAUACCCUGGUAGUCCACGCCGUAAACGAUGAGAACUAGAUGUUAGGGGGCUUAGACCUCUUAGUAUCGCAGCAAACGCGUUAAGUUCUCCGCCUGGGGAGUACGGCCGCAAGGUUAAA
RNAcentral lists this ribosomal RNA (332 nucleotides) under uncultured bacterium. RNAcentral's name for it is "bacterial SSU rRNA". It matches the Rfam family "Bacterial small subunit ribosomal RNA", at positions 568 to 898 of the family's 1533-position model. The record is from RNAcentral.